GCGAGUGAAGCGGUAAAAGCUCAAAUUUGAAAUCUGGUACUUUCAGUGCCCGAGUUGUAAUUUGUAGAAUUUGUCUUUGAUUAGGUCCUUGUCUAUGUUCCUUGGAACAGGACGUCAUAGAGGGUGAGAAUCCCGUUUGGCGAGGAUACCUUUUCUCUGUAAGACUUUUUCGAAGAGUCGAGUUGUUUGGGAAUGCAGCUCAAAGUGGGUGGUAAAUUCCAUCUAAAGCUAAAUAUUGGCGAGAGACCGAUAGCGAACAAGUACAGUGAUGGAAAGAUGAAAAGAACUUUGAAAAGAGAGUGAAAAAGUACGUGAAAUUGUUGAAAGGGAAGGGCAUUUGAUCAGACAUGGUGUUUUUUGCAUGCACUCGCCUCUCGUGGGCUUGGGCCUCUCAAAAAUUUCACUGGGCCAACAUCAAUUCUGGCAGCAGGAUAAAUCAUUAAGAAUGUAGCUACUUCGGUAGUGUUAUAGCUUUUUGGAAUACUGUUAGCCGGGAUUGAGGACUGCGCUUCGGCAAGGAUGUUGGCAUAAUGGUUAAAUGCCGCCCGUCUUGA
RNAcentral lists this ribosomal RNA (554 nucleotides) under Hanseniaspora uvarum. RNAcentral describes it as "eukaryotic LSU rRNA". It matches the Rfam family "Eukaryotic large subunit ribosomal RNA", at positions 89 to 657 of the family's 3401-position model. Lineage: Eukaryota; Fungi; Ascomycota; Saccharomycetes; Saccharomycodales; Saccharomycodaceae. The record is from RNAcentral.